Molecule: long non-coding RNA, 1020 nt
Filed under: Equus caballus (horse)
Lineage: Eukaryota; Metazoa; Chordata; Mammalia; Perissodactyla; Equidae
Description: lncRNA (ENSECAG00000059613.1)
Source: RNAcentral
GUUCUCCCCUGACCUGUUGGUGCAGGAGUCUGCCCCACCCACUUGAGCACCUAUUUAAUCCAGCUCAGCCAGGGCAGGCAGCCCACCCUAGGGACUGGCCGCAUCCAACAGCAAGCCCUUGGGCAACAUGUGGGUCCACAUAGGCAGGGUGUGUGGGACCUCUGCAGUGGGAAGAACCAGCAGAGGAUUCCAAGGUUUUAAGAGGUGAUGGGACCACAAGACGGAAGGACCCUUUCCAGACACCUAUCAGACUUCAUAUGAGAAAGAAAGAAACUUCUGUUGAGAGACAAGACUGCAAACCUAGCAGAGUGGAGAGCUUAACAUAUCCUGGUUUUCCUGCUGCAAGUGGGGUUGAAAAGCACGCGCAGUGGAUUGAAAAUCACAACUAUCCUGCCAAGCGCAGCAGGCUAGCGUUUCCUGGAAUCUGGUCUUAUUUGGAGCCAUACAAGCUGCUGCUUUCUGAAAGGAGGAAACUGAAAACAACAACAAAAGCAGAAUUUCUCUUUUAUUCCCGACUGGAAGAAAGAAAAUCAGGACCAUGAGCUAUCCACCGCUGAUGUCACGUUUGUCUUUAUACGUGACGAUUCCAUUCACCACACCUCUUCUCCGUUGUGUGGAAGCUCCAUCUUACCUCGUCUGCUUCCACCAAGCCAACUCCAUGCCUUUUAUUCAGGCAAAGGCCUAUGUUUACUCAAUUAUUAGGAAUUAAAGAGGUUUAGAACUGUGAGAACAUUUUUAUUGGGUCAGUUUUUUAUUUUAAUUAAUUUUUUAAGCGUGUUUCUCUUGAGACUUUGUUUUUAAUGUUGUGCCUGUACCUCCGUUUCCCCCCAGGCCUGUUACUUAUAUUGUACGUGAUCCUAUAGCAUGGCGAUUUUUAGUAACACCUCUGCCAGGUUACUGUUUCUUGUUGUAAAUUAGCAUUUCCUUGGUUACUAAAAUCAUUCUUUCUUUUGUUUUCUGGCCACUUGUAUAUCUCUCUUUAUAUCCCUGUUGUUGUGACACGCGUGUCAUAACUUUCAC